Molecule: small RNA, 94 nt
Filed under: Salmonella enterica
Lineage: Bacteria; Pseudomonadati; Pseudomonadota; Gammaproteobacteria; Enterobacterales; Enterobacteriaceae
Also listed under: 2 other names
Description: partial RtT sRNA
Rfam family: RtT RNA
About the family: This family represents a bacterial cis-regulatory element known as RtT RNA.
Source: RNAcentral
AAGGUUCGAUUCGAGCGCAGCGAGAAAGCGUUGCCGUAGGCAACGACCCGAAGGGCGAAGCGCGCAGCGCUGAGUAAUCCUUCCCCCGUCAUCC